Molecule: ribosomal RNA, 164 nt
Filed under: uncultured bacterium
Lineage: Bacteria
Description: partial 16S ribosomal RNA
Rfam family: Bacterial small subunit ribosomal RNA
Source: RNAcentral
UGGGGAAUAUUGGACAAUGGGCGAAAGCCUGAUCCAGCCAUGCCGCGUGUGUGAAGAAGGUCUUCGGAUUGUAAAGCACCUUAAGUUGGGAGGAAGGGCAGUAAGUUAAUACCUUGCUGUUUUGACGUUACCGACAGAAUAAGCACCGGCUAACUCUGUGUCAG